This 1470-nucleotide ribosomal RNA is filed under the name metagenome. RNAcentral's name for it is "bacterial SSU rRNA". It matches the Rfam family "Bacterial small subunit ribosomal RNA". The record is from RNAcentral.
GAUCCUGGCUCAGAAUGAACGCUGGCGGCGUGCAUAACACAUGCAAGUCGAACGGUAACAGGAGGAAGCUUGCUUUCUUGCUGACGAGUGGCGCACGGGUGAGUAAUGCAUAGGUAACGUGCCCCUUAGUCUGGGAUAGCCACUGGAAACGGUGAUUAAUACUAGAUACGCCUUCUCUCUUAAUGAGAGUCGGGAAAGUUUUUCGCUAAGGGAUCGGCCUAUGUUGUAUCAGGUAGUUGGUGAGGUAAUGGCUCACCAAGCCUAUGACACAUAGCGGGUCUGAGAGGAUGAUCCGCCACACUGGUACUGAGACACGGACCAGACUCCUACGGGAGGCAGCAGUGGGGAAUAUUGCACAAUGGACGAAAGUCUGAUGCAGCAACGCCGCGUGGAGGAUGACACAUUUCGGUGCGUAAACUCCUUUUAUAUGAGAAGAUAAUGACGGUAUCAUAUGAAUAAGCACCGGCUAACUCCGUGCCAGCAGCCGCGGUAAUACGGAGGGUGCAAGCGUUAUUCGGAAUCACUGGGCGUAAAGGGUGCGUAGGCGGUUUGGAAAGUCAGGUGUGAAAGCCAACAGCUUAACUGUUGAACUGCACUUGAAACUUCCAGACUAGAAUACUGAAGGGGCAGAUGGAAUUAGUGGUGUAGGGGUAAAAUCCGUAGAUAUCACUAGGAAUACCGAAAGCGAAAGCGAUCUGCUGGGAAGUUAUUGACGCUGAGGCACGAGAGCGUGGGGAGCAACGGGAUUAGAUACCCCGGUAGUCCACGCCCUAAACGAUGAAUGCUAGUCGUCGGAAAGCUCGUCUUUUCGGUGAUGCAGUUAACACAUUAAGCAUUCCGCCUGGGGAGUACGGUCGCAAGAUUAAAACUCAAGGGAAUAGACGGGGACCCGCACAAGUGGUGGAGCAUGUGGUUUAAUUCGAAUAUACGCGAAGAACCUUACCUAGCCUUGACAUUGAUAGAAUCUGGUAGAGAUACCGGAGUACCUGCUUGCAGGAACUUGAAAACAGGUGCUGCACGGCUGUCGUCAGCUCGUGUCGUGAGAUGUUGGGUUAAGUCCCGCAACGAGCGCAACCCUCGUCGUUAGUUGCUAACAGUUCGGCUGAGCACUCUAGCGAGACUGCCUUCGCAAGGAGGAGGAAGGUGAGGACGACGUCAAGUCAUCAUGGCCCUUAUGGCUAGGGCUACACACGUGCUACAAUGGGGCGUACAGAGAUUUGCGAUACCGCGAGGUGGAGCCAAUCUCACAAAGCGUCUCUCAGUUCGGAUUGUUCUCUGCAACUCGAGAACAUGAAGCUGGAAUCACUAGUAAUCGUAGAUCAGCAAUGCUACGGUGAAUACGUUCCCGGGUCUUGUACUCACCGCCCGUCACACCAUGGGAGUUGAUUUCACCCGAAAUCGGGAAGCGAACCUUCGGGACGCUACCGCUUACGGUGGAAUUAGCGACCGGGGUGAAGUCGGAACAAGGUA